CUCACAGAGAUCCUCCUGCCUCUGCCUCCCGAGUGCUGGGAUUAAAGGCGUGUGCCACCACCGCCCGGCUGAUGUGAGUUUUAAUGUAUCUAUAAAGAGUGUAUAAUGUAUAAGUUUUAAUGUAUAUAUACUCUCUAGUUGGAAUCUAUUAAAUACAAUUGAAUGAAAGUAGCCAUGGUAAAUAUAGACUUGGUAUGUAGUAUUACAUUGGUCAGUCCAUAUAUGAAACCUUAAUGGGUCACAAGUGAGUUAUAUAUCAUUGCAGCAGAUGAUUGUCUAGAUAAAGACUUAGCUAAGGUUCAUUAAUGUUUAAAGUGUAUUAGAUUAAUGUUUAAAAUGUAUUAAAGUGUAGACUUUUGAUUAUUCACCGGUAGCUAGUGAGUUAAUUGGUAAGCAAGGCUGGAUAAUAAGAAAUGAAGUAGCCAAACCCUGGAUCAAUAUCACUGCUGGUGUGAGUCAUAGGUGGUGAAGUGCAUCUGGAACACUGAAACCCCAGAGGAAAAUAAUUAGAGCUGUUGCCCACUCCAGAAUGAAUGCUAUAGAUAGAUUCGUGAUUUCAUAAGACUCUUGUCUGAGUUUGUUUUUCACAGGUUUUGAUUAUUUUGUAGUCAGAAAAUCAAUAAGAGGAUGUACAAUCAAAACACUUGGUUGGACAUGUUAAAGAGGUAUGUUUUUUAUUGUGAGUGAUUUAAAAGUAUAAAGAAUAAUAUAUAAUUAUAAAUAAGUAAAUUUGAAAGGGGCAUAGUAUCAUAUAAUUAUAGCAAAAUGAGAAAGAGAACACUAUGAACAGUAUUAAUGCUAAUAAAUAGUGAUAAUUGGCCAAAGGACAAAUGUUCAGAGGUAUUUCUUAUGGCUAAUAGUAAUGGCAGAGAAUCUAAGUGAUGGCUGGUAUUCUUGCAUUGGAUUAAUGGAAGUUCAAUGGUGUCUUGUUCUUCUUAAUAGACUAUGAAAUAUACAUCCAAGUAAUUUCACAGUGAUUCAAAGAUACCAGGAUCAGUGGAAGAAAUGUCUCAAUUUUAUCAGGGUCUGCUUCACUGUGUAGUGAGGUUGAGGCUACACAGAACUAUAUAAGUCCCUGCCUUUAAGAAAGUCCAAUUACUCAAUGUACACAGUAAGCAAGGAAAGAUGAAAAAAAGGAGUAUAUCUGUGCCCAUUCUUAGUGUAUGCAUAGAGCAGCAAGGAUAGUUAGUGUGAACGUGUACUCAAACUAGCCCCACCCCCCAAGAAGCCCAUGAUAAAACAUCAAGGCUUUUUUUAACUGAGUUUUUAAUAAUUAAUAGAUACUUAUUAUAUUGUCAUUAGAGAUUUACUAACUAAUUAAACAAUAAGCUAGACGAGAAUAACUAGAAAUGGGUCCUACCAUGUUUGCUGUUGCUGGUGGUAUAUGAAUCCCACAGUGGGUACAUUGUUUGAUGCUGUCAGGUCCAGCAAAGACAAGAUAAAAUGUACCAUUUAUGUUUAAAGGGCUCCUACAUGUGGAUGCCAAGAAUGCAAAGGGACCUUUUUCCUUAGAUUGUUUUUAUGCAACUAUAUUCUUUUACUGUACACAGAUAAAUGUGACUACUACCACAGACAUCAAAUGUAGACAGAUGAGAGUAGGAGGCCUGUAGCAUACUGGCAAAGUCAGAUAAGUAUUAACAUAUAUUACUUCAAAUUCAUAUACACAUAAGUAUCUUGAUAAAAGAACAUGGUCUUAAUCUCCUUUUUACUGUGUUUUGCUUUUGACAUCCUAGACUGAACUGCGAACUGGCUUCUGUGUUCCUCAGCUUUCUGGUCCCUACCAUUGCCUCUGAGGGAACAGUGCUUUCCAGUUAAUGGAGGACUCUGCCAUGCUGCUUGUUCAUGGGUGGAGAGCACAGAGACCAAUGUGAGUGAGAAUUAAUGUUCAUGAGCUUGUGAGUUUUUCUUGAAGCAUUUAUUACAUUAUUAAAAGUUUAAAGAAGUCCCAACAAGGCCAACUGUGGAAAAUGAUAAAUAUGGAAUUAGCAUGAAAUAUUACACUUAUAAAUUCAUUGAUGAUAAUUAGAGAACAUGAUAUGAGUAUGGCCAACAAUCCUAAAGGCACAAAGAAUACUUAUUGCUCUUAGAUUUCAUGAACCAUAGUUUUUAAAUUUAUGACUAUUGAAUUAAAUUACUUCUUUAAUAAACACAUGUAAAUUAGUGUGAAUAAAGAGGUCCCAACCAGGACCAAUGAUGGUAAUGAGGGUUUAAUGAGUUGUGGUGAUGUGUGGUAUAAGCCCAAAAUGCUGAGGUCUGGUUAAUUAAUACAGGUAGUAUGAUGAUUUGUCAAAGAAGAAUCUAAGACAACAAAUGAUUGUCUGUAUAGAAGAUAAGCACAUUUAAGGUUCUUGCUUUUGAGUUUUUAUCCAUAGUUCCAAUUUUAUUGUUAUUAGUGAAUUAAUAAGUUAAAUAGCAAUCAGAUGUAGAUGACUGUGAAGAAAGAGUCAUGACCCAGAACCAUUGUUGAGGUGGUCACAUGUGAGUCAGAAAAGAUGAAUAAUUCAUGUGUGGGCCUUCAAGGCAUGAUCAUGUUGACAGCUUUCAGGAAAAUA
This is a long non-coding RNA of Peromyscus leucopus (white-footed mouse), 2552 nucleotides long. RefSeq lists it as uncharacterized. The record is from RefSeq and is a predicted model, not a curated record. NCBI's taxonomy places the organism in Eukaryota, Metazoa, Chordata, Mammalia, Rodentia, Cricetidae. The transcript has 2 exons.